RNA transcript from Hylaeus anthracinus, 4183 nucleotides. It is a transcript of the gene named carotenoid isomerooxygenase, with no coding region annotated. Lineage: Eukaryota; Metazoa; Arthropoda; Insecta; Hymenoptera; Colletidae. The record is from RefSeq and is a predicted model, not a curated record. The transcript has 11 exons.
AUUUUACAAAUGUGAUUCGCGAAAACCUGUCCGGCAGCAAAAUGUAAGUUUUAUCGAUUUCAUUGAAUUCAGACUGAACAUACGUGCAGUAGUACUGUUUUUGCGAUAAAAUUGAUACAAAGUGGUAAAAAAUAAAACACGGCCAAAUGUUUGUUUACAGAACCAAGUGGCAAUGAUGCUCUACCAGAUGCAAGAAGUUUCAAUCUGAUUGAGUCCGUCCGUCUCGGAGUAAGAAGUAGUAUAAAAUUUUUUGGUUUUUGCAAAAAAAAAAGCAAAUAGGUACAAAAUGACAAAUCACAAAAUGUUUUAAUAAAGGGACCACCUGGGAGACAUACUCUACAAGAUGCAAGAGGUUUCAUUCCGAUUGGUCAAGCAAUUGGUCAAUCUCGGCGUAAUUGGCGAACAUACCUUUAAAAAAAAUAAAAAAAAAAUGCACGUAUUAUUAGGUAAUCUCCUCUUUUUCGAUGUCGGUUAAAAGUGGUGAAUAUGCACGUGACCGUGCGCGGGGCUUCGAGCAACCGGUGCCGUUAAUUGGAUCACGGUGAGACUACUUUUUAAGGUCAGCAGAUUAUCGGAACAAUGUCAUUCGUUGAUAGAAGCCCCGAGGGGAUGGAUUUCACCCACAAGCGAGUAUACCACAUUCUGUCGUCCAUUCUAAAUCCGCUGGUGGUGGAGCCUGUUGACGAAAACGUUGAGGAUGAAACGUAGCAUCAAUCAACACGCGAACAUUCGAAAUUAAUUAUCGAAUCUCGUACCGUUGCGUCUUUGGUUCUUUAUGUUCCAUCGGGUCCUUUCGGCAGUGUCUAUAAGAACCGUUAUGAAAUCAAACAAACGCGGUAGGGCAAAAUCAACUAGUGACUUUUCCUCGGUGAAACUAAACGAGCUCGAUGAUUUAUUGCACGGAAAACGGUUUAAAUUGUCGAGGACGUCGUUUCGUCUGAACGACACUGCAGGAUCUUCAAGGUCAUUUGAAAAUGACACAAAAGAAGAGGGCACAAAUUACUUUCCGAAUUGUAAUUCGUCAGUUUGGAUGAGAUCCUGCGAAAAGGAGGUGCUGGAGCCAAUACUUGGCACUGUUACCGGACAGAUUCCGAACUGGUUGAAGGGUACCUUGCUGAGAAACGGGCCAGGGAGCUUGAAAGUCGGAGAAUACACGUUCAACCACCUGUUCGACAGUUCAGCUUUAUUGCACCGAUUUGCAAUUGGGAAUGGAAAAGUGACGUAUCAGUGUAGAUUCGUUCAAACGGAUGUCUACAAGAAGAAUAACGCAGCGCAGAGGAUAGUCGUUACCGAGUUUGGUACGAGAGCAGUGCCUGAUCCCUGCAGAAGUAUUUUUCAAAGGGUUGCGGCAGUGUUCAAACCUGGCGACGAAUCAGAUAAUUCGAUGAUAUCAGUCUACCCGUUCGGUGACGAGUAUUACACGUUUGCCGAGUCAGCGGUGAUUCAUCGCAUCGAUCCUGAAACUUUGGAAACUAUAGGCAAGGUAAACGUGUCUGACUACGUUAGCAUCGUGAACCACACGUCUCAUCCUCAUGUGAUGAACGAUGGCACCAUUUAUAAUCUAGGGAUGAGUAUAACGCCACGUGGACCUAUGUACAAUGUUGUGUGUUUCUUGCCUAGCCGUAUCACCAUUGAUGGAUCAGGGGAGGAAAAGAAAUUGUCAAUGUUUGACCAAGCCACUAUUGUCGCUAGUGUCCCAUCCAGGUGGCUGUUGAAUCCCUCUUACAUGCACACGUUUGGUAUCACUGAAAACUAUUUCAUAAUUAUCGAGCAACCACUUGCAAUUUCUCUUACUACUAUAGUGGUCUGCAAAGUGAAGCAGGAACCAAUGCGCGCGGCUCUGAAGUGGCACGAAAACGAAAAUACCCUUAUACACGUGGUUUCAAGGGAGACGGGCUUGCUGGAAAGAACGUUUGUCACCGAAGCAUUUUUCUACCUUCACAUCAUUAAUCAGUUUGAAACAUGUGAUCGUAAUUACAUAGUCCUGGAUGUUUGCUGUUAUCGAGAUGCCAAAAUGUUGGAUUGUAUGUUCGUCGAGGCGAUGAAGAAUAUACACAAGAAUCCUGACUACGCUAAGAUGUUCCGCGGCAGACCCUUGCGAUUCGUAUUGCCAAUGAAGCGUACACAGUUAGAUGUUCCAUUGGAGUACAAUUUGAUCACUGUAAAAACGGUGAACCAAGGCCUGGUAUCAUUCCAAGACGUCAAGAAAUCUCUUAACAAUCAAGACGCUAGAUCAGACACGGAGUUCCUCGAUGAUUCGGCAAAUGAAAAUCCUGUUAACGUUAAUACGAAUAGCAAAAAUGAUUACAGAAAUAUUAUUCACAGAAAGGCCGCUGCUCAUAGACUUCCGGAUGGCAACAUUUACCUAAAACCAGAACUCCUCUGCGAUUUGGGCUGCGAGACUCCGCGUCUCAAUUAUGAUUAUUUCUUUGGCAGAGAGUACCGUUACUUCUACGCAAUUUCUAGUGAUGUGGACUUGGACAAUCCUGGAAUGAUCAUCAAGGUGGACGUGUUGAAGAAAACGAGAAAAACGUGGUGCGAGAAGAACGUUUAUCCCAGCGAACCAAUCUUCGUGCCGGAUCCCAAUGGGAAGAAUGAAGACGAUGGCGUCGUCUUAAGUGCCAUUGUCUGGUCAGAGAAGGAGACACAGGUGGGUCUGCUGAUUCUAGACAGCGUGACUCUCACAGAAAUUGCUAGAUCAACCUUCGAAACUCCUGGACCAGUGCCAAAGUGCUUACAUGGCUGGUUUACCUCGGCUAAGUAGAGUAAACUGAGAUUACAAAAUUGCGAGCAUCGGAUUUCCCACCUGUACAGAAAAUAUUACCUAGAUUUACUGCUUAUGCAAUACAGACCGCAGUAAUUGGUGUUGUAAAUUACUGGACGGUUAGAUUUUCUGUAUACUGGUGAAGUAUACUACAUUUUCUACGUUGUAUGAUCGAUUGCGGUUUAUCAUGUAUUUCGUUGAUGGUUUUGACAUUAACAUAGCUGUUCAAGGCUUUAAUAGUUCCUUUUGAAGUUGGAUUACAAUAUCCGAAAUACAGGGCAAGAACGAGUACUUAUAUGCCAUUCAAAGAUAUCGUCAGCACAAUAUGUAAAUAGUAUAAUAAAUUAUUUAAUGUCUUCCCCUGAUUGUACAGUGUAGUUAUACUUGACGAUUAAUGUCGCAUAAAACUUUGUUGUCGAGUAACACAAUAAAUUUGCAACAAAACGUGAUCAAUUGUAAACUAUUUGUCAGAUGGAAUGUAAAAUGCCCUACGAACUUCUGUUUUAAAUUAACAUGUUCACUACCACGCAAGUUUUACAUUUUUUCCUUGAGGGCUACGAAUAAUGUUACUGCAACCGCAAAAGAUAAACAUUGAUCACUGAUGACUAUCGUGACAGUAAACGUGUUAACACUUUAAAUUAUAAUAUGUCAUUGUUAUAUCAUGUAAUAAAACACGGUAUCUCUUCGUAUAAUAUUUAAUCAUCUGUUAAAUAUUAUUGUGAACAAGGCUUCCACUCGUAAACCGUAUCCAUUGGAUAAGAUACUCUGACACUUCAAUAGCAUUACAACUUUUUCAGGGGUGAAUGGGAUACUGAUAUUGGCAUGCGUCGCGUAGCUUAAGUCUUUAAAGGUUACUGUACUGGUGUCAUGGUUCAUUGACUAUUAAUAACCGAGCUAACGGUGCAGUUCACCGGUUACCUAUGAAGGUCUAAUCCCUUGGCGUUGUCUGUUAUAAUUUCUUCAAUUAGAAAACCUCAAGAAUAAGUCCUUACAAAGCAUAAGAUUAGAGUUGAACGGGGGCUUCAACUAUACGACCUUAAUGAACCGGAGCACGAAGAAAGGAUUGCUUUUCUCAAAAUCGGAUCUCCAGGCUUCGGCCUUUGGUAGGAGACCAUUCUAACUUUGUUACACACGUAGGCUGAUCUGUAUUUUUGUGAAGCUGCUAGUCACUAAAUGAUGUACGCAAUUUACGAUGUUUUGAAGGCUUAUAGACAGGAGAAUAUAUAAACAAUUUGCAAUAAAAUUUAGUGCAAGCAAUUUAAAAAAUGAGUAUCUAGAAUUUAUUUAUUUAUUAACAGAACGAUGAUUCCAAAUAUACAUCUAAAAUUUCUAAGAAGGUUUUUUAAUGAAAACAUUAAUCUGUUACCAUGGACAGCACAAUGUCCCCAUCUGAAGAAAAAUGUAUGAAAAUGAAAAUUU